UGAGGAAUAUUGGUCAAUGGCCGGGAGGCUGAACCAGCCAAGUCGCGUGCAGGAAGACGGCUCUAUGAGUUGUAAACUGCUUUUGUACGAGGGUAAACUCACCUACGUGUAGGUGACUGAAAGUAUCGUACGAAUAAGGAUCGGCUAACUCCGUGCCAGCAGCCGCGGUAAUACGGAGGAUUCAAGCGUUAUCCGGAUUUAUUGGGUUUAAAGGGUGCGUAGGCGGUUUGAUAAGUUAGAGGUGAAAUCCCGGGGCUUAACUCCGGAACUGCCUCUAAUACUGUUAGACUAGAGAGUAGUUGCGGUAGGCGGAAUGUAUGGUGUAGCGGUGAAAUGCUUAGAGAUCAUACAGAACACCGAUUGCGAAGGCAGCUUACCAAACUAUAUCUGACGUUGAGGCACGAAAGCGUGGGGAGCAAACAGGAUUAGAUACCCUGGUAGUCCACGCAGUAAACGAUGAUAACUCGUUGUCGGCGAUACACAGUCGGUGACUAAGCGAAAGCGAUAAGUUAUCCACCUGGGGAGUACGUUCGCAAGAAUGAAACUCAAAGGAAUUGACGGGGGCCCGCACAAGCGGAGGAACAUGUGGUUUAAUUCGAUGAUACGCGAGGAACCUUACCCGGGCUUGAAAGUUACUGACGAUUCUGGAAACAGGAUUUCCCUUCGGGGCAGGAAACUAGGUGCUGCAUGGUUGUCGUCAGCUCGUGCCGUGAGGUGUCGGGUUAAGUCCCAUAACGAGCGCGACCCCUACCGUUAGUUGCCAUCAGGUCAAGCUGGGCACUCUGGCGGGACUGCCGGUGUAAGCCGAGAGGAAGGUGGGGAUGACGUCAAAUCAGCACGGCCCUUACGUCCGGGGCUACACACGUGUUACAAUGGUAGGUACAGAGGGUCGCUACCCCGCGAGGGGAUGCCAAUCUCGAAAGCCUAUCUCAGUUCGGAUUGGAGGCUGAAACCCGCCUCCAUGAAGUUGGAUUCGCUAGUAAUCGCGCAUCAGCCAUGGCGCGGUGAAUACGUUCCC
This 1018-nucleotide ribosomal RNA is filed under the name uncultured bacterium. Its description in RNAcentral is "bacterial SSU rRNA". It matches the Rfam family "Bacterial small subunit ribosomal RNA", at positions 355 to 1375 of the family's 1533-position model. The record is from RNAcentral.